RNAcentral lists this ribosomal RNA (413 nucleotides) under uncultured bacterium. Its description in RNAcentral is "bacterial SSU rRNA". It matches the Rfam family "Bacterial small subunit ribosomal RNA", at positions 360 to 773 of the family's 1533-position model. The record is from RNAcentral.
AAUCUUGCGCAAUGGUCGAAAGACUGACGCAGCGACGCCGCGUGCGGGAGGAGGCCCUUCGGGGUGUAAACCGCUGUUACUCGGGACGAACCUCCUGUUGCGACAGGAUUGACGGUACCGGGGGAGGAAGCACCGGCUAACUCUGUGCCAGCAGCCGCGGUAAUACAGAGGGUGCGAGCGUUGUCCGGAAUCACUGGGCGUAAAGGGCGCGUAGGCGGCUUUUCAAGCGUGCGGUGAAAGCUCGGAGCUUAACUCCGAGUCUGCCGUGCGAACUGGGAGGCUUGAGUCUGGUAGAGGUCGAUGGAAUUCCGGGUGUAGCGGUGGAAUGCGUAGAGAUCCGGAAGAACACCGGUGGCGAAGGCGGUCGACUGGGCCAGUACUGACGCUGAGGCGCGACAGCGUGGGGAGCAAAC